AAAUGCCUGCAAAGAUGGUUCAG
Molecule: non-coding RNA, 23 nt
Filed under: Gossypium hirsutum (cotton)
Lineage: Eukaryota; Viridiplantae; Streptophyta; Magnoliopsida; Malvales; Malvaceae
Source: RNAcentral